Molecule: non-coding RNA, 9881 nt
Organism: Cyanistes caeruleus (blue tit)
Lineage: Eukaryota; Metazoa; Chordata; Aves; Passeriformes; Paridae
Source: RefSeq, a predicted model, not a curated record
UGUGCUCGGGGGAGCCCGGCUCGGUGCGGUCCCGAGAGGCGGCUCUGCGAGGCCGGGACAGCUCAUUGCAGCUCCCCUGCAACCUCCGGAGACUGCGCCGCUCUCCCCGGUGUGCCGGUGGCUUCGGGAGCACAGCAUCUCCUCUUCAUCUCUUCCGCCUUCCUUGCACCAGUCACGCUAAAUUUCACUUUGUAUCUACUAAUAAGUUUCAAAUCCUUAAUAUAACACAUACUGCAGAAUACACAGCAGAACAGUUUUUAAAUGACACUUGUCUUUGUGGCCUGCCGAAUUCCAGACUAAGCCUAUCCCAACAGGACACUACUGGAACAGCCGUGUCCCUGCCCAGCCUGCCCAUGGGGCUGGAUAUUUACCUGCUUGAAGGUGACCCUGCCUCGAGUUACCCUAUCUUAAACCCUCCAGGUUUAAGAUUCAACAUUCACAUUUGCUCAGCCUUUGACAGAAAGCCACGAGAACGGCUGUGUCCCUGCCAGCCCUUCCAACCAGCCCUGCAGGCAGAUGGAUGGCCUGACUCCUUGCCUGUGGGCAUUUCAGUGCUCUGACACUAACACCUCACUCGGGCCAUGUGCUCUGAUGGGCAAUUUCUUGUCUUUCUUGGUGCCAAGUGUAAGUUCACUGUCUGGAUAAGGCUGGGGUGCUGCUUAAAAUAGACUUUAUGUGCCUUGUUGGAUUUGUGCAAUGUUCCAUAAGCUGCUUUGGAAAAAGACAUUUGUGUCUACAUUUGAACUUUUCAGUCUGAGCGUUUUUAAAGCUCAUUCACAUCCUGAGAUAAGAUUAAGUCAUCAAGGUCAAUAAAACCUCUUUCCUUCCAUGUAUUUCCGUGCUUUUGCCUGAAGGGAUCUCUGAUUCAUACCUGACUGAGUAAAGGAUGUGAAGCAACUCAGCUGCUUUGGGAAGGGGGAGAAAUCCCCAAUUGCUACAGGCUGGCCUUUCAGCCUGCAUCGCUGCUCUAGGCUGUCACAUGAGGCACUGCAGAGGGAAGAGGUGUGCUGAUAGAAUUUCACUGCACUGGAAAAUACCCUGGAAUGUCUCAAAACUCCAAUACAAGAGGGAAGAUGUGAUGGAAAUAGAUAAUGGGUGUUGGAGAGAUUCUGGUCUGUUUGGCAUGCCUGUCCCAGUUCAGCUACAGUGUGAAGGUAUAUGACUAAAUGAAUUAUCUCUUAAGUGUCUAAAAUAAAAGAAAAGGCUGCCCAAGUUAUGAGGGCUGUGGCCUUCUCUCAAAGUACACUUUUCCUCUUGGGAUGAGUGAGAAGCCUUGCAGCAGCCAAGGCAAUGCCGAUGAAAACCAGGGCUCUCACUUUUGCAAACUCAUUGGCAGUUGUACCAACCCACACAAGUCUGUUCUGGCUUUCCUUGUGCCACUAUGAAGAGGUCUGAUGAAGCAGGUGAUCCAGCUGUGACAGAUAUUUUUUCACAAUGUCUGUGAACUUCUUCUGUGUUCCCAACAGGGAGGUCUGAUGUAAUCAUUACGACGUGGCCUAGCAGCAUGAAAUCUCAUGCACUGCCAGACAGAGGUGUAUUGUACAGAAACCCCCUUUUGUUCUGUUAUGAUGGUCUUGGGGAAGCACUUCAUUGCCACAGAGAAGGGUGGCUGAUGUAAACCCAACUGUCACUGUUGGGCAACACAGCAGGCGAGCUGGGAGCCAGAGCCCCGCGGUCACAUACUUCCCUUUGACAGUGACUCUGCAAGCAGGGCAGUGGUGUCGAAAUGCCCUCUGUGUUCUAAAAGGGGGGUGAGUGAUAAUUGCACAUCUGCCUCCUCCCAGCAGCUCAAAGUGAAGGGUCUGAGAGUGGUCAAUGCUCAAGACACAUCUCUGUUACACUGCAGCAGUUGCCUGUGGAGCGCAGGACUGAUAAACACAUCAACUUGGUGUUUAGGUGUUCCUGGUAUGUUGGUCCCAUGCUGUUCCUUCAGUCAUUUCUGAGGCUUAACUGAAGAGCAGAACAUCUGCCCAGGAUCAGACUAGGGGCAGGCUGACCCAGCACCCUAUCACUUGGAUCUCACUGGCAGCAGAUGCUAAAGGAAGAAUGGCAGAACUGGGUAACUAAUAUCUCUCUAGCUGCAGUCCUGGUUUCCAGUUAUCUGUGACUUAGGAGUCUUUAGAAGUGGUAUCUCCAAACAUGGAAGGCCUGAUGUGGUUUUCUUUCCUGACUGCCAAUUGCUUUUGCCAGCACUGGCUGCUUGAGCAAUGUGAGGGCAGUCUGAGAGCACCACUGCAAAGCUGCUCUUCCUGCUGUAUUCUCAUGUGGGAGAGAGCCUGGCAUGGCACAGAGACUGCAGUCACAGAGCAGGAGUGUGCAGGCUCACCACAGACCUUGGCCUGCUAUGCAUUGUAACCAUCACCAGUGCUUUGUACCCAGGAUAUUCAUUUGGUAGGAUCUCCAGAAAGUGGCAGCAGAGAAACUUGCCUAAUGUGUGGUUUCUGAAAGUAAUAUGCAGAGAAAAAAAAAAAAAAAAAGUUACUGCAUGUUCAGUAAAACACAGUAAUGAGUGUCAGAAACACAGUUGCUCUCUGCCUUCAUUGUCUGUGAAAAGGAAUUGGCACAAUCCCUUGACAACUUAAAUGCUUGUUAAUUUUUUUAGGAAAAAAAAAAUAAAAAAUAUAUAUCAGAAUCCAUAGUUGUAUUUUUUGAAUUCCAGGAUUGGAUUAUGUUCUCAGAAGUAAUGGUACUGAUACCAGCAGUGAAUAAAGCAGCUCCAUAGCUCAUGAUUCCUUUAAGAGAUAAAAUAUAUACAUCUUUCACACCUAGAGUAAGACUUAACUGUUUGUCUAGCCAUGUAAUAAGAUUACGUCAAGAAAAAAAGAUAGUCCUUUGAGGGAGCAUAUAUGGGAAAACAUAGCUUUAUUUUUCAAUGAUGGGCUGGAAUUAAGGAGAUAGGCGGCUGCAAUACAAACUUUAUUUUGAAGCAAAAUCUUUAGACAAGGUUACUUAGCACCAAUGAACAGAGAACUGGUCUCAACUGAACAGGUAUGUCAGACCUGGGGAAAAAAACUCAUAUAAAAAUCCAAAUGUACUCAUUAAAAUUAAAUAAGAAUAAAUUUGAGCUACCUGAACUUGCCUGACCCCUGGCUGAUGCUAUUUUGCUGCUAUUUUGCUACUUCUUUAGGAUUAAGGAUUUUUGAUGCUAUUUUACUACUUCUUUAGUAUUAAGUCAACACUACUGCUGUUCCCUGAAUACUAUUCUUAACAGUGUAUGAAGUACAGGAUGUCUUCUGGGUCAUUCAGCAGCUGUGACAGUUAGUGGGGUUUUCUUAUCUCUCACUGUCCAUCUGAAAAACAGCUUUGAACCUCCUGGUUGGUGUCUGCCUUUUUUUUUUCCUCUCUCUUUCUGUCUCAUUUUUCCCUCCCUUAACCAGAGGUCUAAAAUAAAUGCGCCAACCACAUAAUCAGCCAUGAACAGAAAUAUCCUCUGCUGGAGCCCAGCCUCUGACUCUUGUUGCUGUGCAUCUGCCAGAAAAGAGGACAGGAAGGGAGGAUGGCACUAACAGCAAAACUUGGAGGUCCACGUGGUGUGUUGAUUUGUUUUUCUUUUUCUGAACAAGGUGUUGAUACAACUCAAAGCUGAGGUUGGCCAGUGAGACAGGGUUCAGCCGAGUGAGUUUUGCUGACAAGAAGUGGCAGUUGAGAAAUUUUGUGCCUAGAGGCAGGCUGGUGGUGAGGAUGAAAUGUCUCUAACCUUGAUGGCUGAAGAGAUCCCUGCCCAGAUGCAGGGAUUAAAGAUCUCCCCAGUGAGUUCCUCCAUGAUGCACAGCUUGGUUUUCAAGGAGUAACUGUGAUAUCUUCCUGCAGCGUUGCAGGUUGUUUUAGUGGCUAGAGCUAUGCUGUCAUAAUCAGCCAUCUUCUGGAGGGAACUGUGAAAACACUCACCCCAUCUUGUUCCCUGGAGAAUCCAGCACCACGAGUGCUUUCAGAGGCACAGGGAAGUGCUGCUCCUGGUCUCCCCUUUCCUCCUCUCCUCUCCUCUCUCACACGGUCGCUGUGGUCGCUCACAUAAACACCUUUAUUUUCACUCUUUUCCCCCGUGGGCAUGCUGGGCUCUCACUGGGUCUCACAGCUUCUCCCAAGCAGCACCUGUAAUGCUGAGAAGUGUCACAGCUCACCCACACCUGGACAAACUGACAAAAAAGAAGGGCGGUGUUAGAGCUGACUGCUGGCUUUGUUAGAGCGUGGGUCAUUAACACCUCGCUGCAGGGCAAGGCAGUGCCUGCUGUUCUCACAGAUAGCUCAGGAGAAAGUCUGGUAGUAACUGUCUCUCUGAGAUUUAGUCUGAAAGCUCUGCAAGAACUAAGGAUGAAGAAAAACAAUUUGAACAGCUAGCCAAUGCAGGAGUAAAUAAUAGUAUUCUUCACCUGGGAGAAGAAACUCCAGAAGAAUGGUUUGGUAUUUUUGAAUUUGAUGUAUGAAUAAUUUGUCUUUCCAUUCUUUCAUAUGGUGGUUUCAAAACUGAUGGACUUAAUUCUAGAUGCUGCAGGAUGUCAGAACUGGAUUGACUGAGUAAACUGAAAUGGAAGACAGUCAUUGAUGACUGGAGUUGGGUCUGACUUGGUAACACACAGCUUUAAUUCCUUCAAAAGGAGUAUAUUGACUUUGAAGAUAUUUGUGUGAGAAGCUGUCCCAGUGUAAAAUCUUCUGGUGUGCUGCAAAGGCGUGCUGACCAAGGGCCAGAUUCUGCAAUCACCUGGCCUUGGCUAAGUCAGUUUGGAUCACAGAAACAUAGGAAGUUAAGGGCUGGAAGGAACCUCAAAGAUCAUCUAGUCCCAAUUCCCCCUGCCAUGAGCAGGACACCUUCCACAGGACCAGCUUGCUCGAGGCCUUUUCCAGCCUGGCCUUGAACUCUGACAGUGUUGGGGCUUUCACAACUUCCCUGGGAAAUUUGUUCCAGUAUCUCACCACCUUUACAGUAAAUAAUUGCUUCCUAACAGCCAGUCUAAAUUUCUUCUCUUUCAGUUUGCACCCAUUACUCCUUGUCGUGUCACUACAGUUCCUGAUGAAGAGUCCCUCUCCAGCUUCCAGUAUCUGUAGGCCCUUCAAAUACUGAAGUUGCUAUAAGGUCUCCAUACACCCUUCUCUUCUCCGGGCUGAACAGCCUCAACUCUUUUCCAUAUCUUUGUUAGGAAGGUGUUUCCAUCCUCUUAUUCUAUCCUUUGUGGAUCUGCUCUGGACUUGCUCCAAGAGUUCUGUGUCCUUUUUGUUUCAUGUCAGCGUGAAUUGAUCUGCACAGAGCAGCAUCAAUAUUAAAUGAGUCCCAUUUUUUCCAUGUCCAGUACAAACCUGCUAAUCCUUCAUGUCCUACUUUAUGGCAGGUAAAAAGUACAAGAAUUUGAGACUGCAGUGUGAGAGAAUUUGCUGCAUGCUAAUCAAAUGGAUGCACUUUUUUAAAGUGAUUUUCCAAGAAAAUUUGGGGAGCAGUGUGCAGAAGCCUCUGAAGCAUUAUUUGAUGACCGUCUGUGAUGGCCACAGCUUCUCUACCUCCUUUCUUCCUCUUCCCAGAGCAAGCUACAGAGCUGUGUGCACUGCAGGGGCACUGCAAACACUCCCUUCAUUGGGAAAUGCUGAGUGUGAUUUCAAGGCUGUUGCACAGAGUAGGGCAGUGUGGUGACAUCUGCAAAGUAUAGGGGAAAUCAGCUUCUCUGAAAGCCUUUCAGCUUGGACAUUACUGUGUGCCCACAGGACUGGGCUGGGGUGUAGGCAAAGCAGAGUGUCCUAGCUGGAGGAGGAUGCUUCAUCUCCCACUGCCCCAGCUGAUGAGUCUCAGGUUUCUGGUGGCAUGUUGGCUAGAAAGCCUUCAUGGACUGAAGCUCAUGCUGCUUGCAUAAAAAAAACUACAUAGACUACAUGAACAGACCUACUUCUUUCCCCCAGUUAAAACCAAAGUAAAAACAGAACGAAACCACUCAGACCUGUCCAUUCCUCUUUUACUGUAUAUUUUAAAACACAGGCAAAUGAAAGAGGAACUGGACAGUAACUGUAUUCCUCAUUAUCUAGCUCUUCCUUGGGCACAGGGAAUGGGUUUGACUGUUUGCAGGAUGGCUGUUCUUGUUAUGUGUGCACAUAGCCUCAGGAGUACCUUGUAGGUGCUCCCAGAGGGCUCAGUUACUUGGAGGCAUAAGUAAGUGCUGUCCAGAUUAAGGGUUUGGUCAGAGCUGCAGAAACAUAAAGUCUGUGGUUACAGUCCUGGCAUGCUGAUAACGUAACUGAAAGCUGCUGGACUAGGGCAGGCCCCAGCCACCAGCACCGGAGGGUGUCUGUGGGGUUUGGUUGAAGAGCCAGACAGCAGUGAGAAGGCAAAACUGGAAAGGAAGGGCUGCAGCUGAAUUCUAGGAGUGGGAAAACCAAUUCUACAAGAGGGAUGUCCCGCAAGUGUCCAUCACACUGUCAGAGCUCGAUGAUGGCAAACAUGCUUGGGAUGGUGCAGACAGAGCAAGAAUUUUUUAAUGAAUCCUGGUUUUACAAAAUAUACUGUGUAUCACACUGGCCUAGAAAGAUGAGGAAUCUCUAAAAUUCCUGGGUUUGUUUGAAUUAAUUUUGCUAUUGCCUGGCCAGCUAUGCUGCUGGCCUGGGCAAAUGCAGCUUGCUAGUUUCUGUUCCCACAGCUGUGCUGGCCAGUUGGGGUUCUGGCCGGGCUGGACAGAAACAGCACUGGUGCUGGGUGCCACCUGAGAGUGCCUCAUACUGAGGGCGGUACAGGGAGGGGACAGGAGAGGAGAAACUGUGGGACUUGCUUUGGUUACAGCUCUGAACUAAGCACUGGUGUUUACUUUUUUGUACAGGCAUUGUGGAUGCUCCGGAGACAGCGACGGGGACCUCAGUGGACACCAGAAUGUGUGGAGGGACCAGCAGGGGCACAGAGGGAGGGCCAGCUCCUUGUUCGAGUGCUGCAACUGGGAAAGCAAAACCUGUCUGCUCGUGUGAGUGUGAGGGAACAGAAGAACUGAGGCAUGGCUGUGAAUUCAAAAGUGAGGUGAACUUGCGGGACAGCUUUUGGAACAAAACCUCCUGCAGUGGCUGAAGUGUCAGCCCACUCAUGAGAACAGAACUCUGUUUCUCUGUGCCUCACUCGGACUCCUCUCCGGGUAAGAGAUCCAGCCCUCUGUGCACAGCCCGGGCAUGAGCCUGUCUCCUGAACCCAGAGCCCUUCUGGCUGUUCUUUGUGCCUUCACAGCCGUCUCCAUGGCCCCUCAGCAGCCAGGGCAGCGGAGCCUGAGCACUGCGAGAUCGAUGGCCUGCGGUGGCCGGACUUGGGACGGUGGCUGUGGCUGCUCCUGGUGCCCUUCCCGGUGCUGCCGGCGGCUGACCCGGCCGCAGGCUCUGUGUGCCCGGCCCUCUGAGGCGUCCUGGCUGCUCUGGCCAAAGGCCGAGGCGCUCGCCCUCAGCCCGCUCGUGAGCCGCGUGCCCCGCGGCAGGAUGGGGAGAGCUGCUUUCACAACCUGGAUGUGUUGUCACUCACAUCCAGACAUUUCCUGUUAUCUAACCUCAGCCUUAUCUUCCCCAUUCGCAGCUUCCUCUUGAAGGAGGAGCAGCCCCUUCAAAACCGAGCUGUGUGGCCGGGCUGUGCCCCCACGGCGCUCCUGCACGGCCCCCGCUGCGGCCCCGCGCUGCCGGCCCUGCCUGCCCCGGGUCAGGAUGGCCCAGCUAUGAACAGUCUCACAGCCCUGUAAAAAUACCUGAGCAAUACCUGACGAUGUGCACCGUGGAGGGGACUUUUCCUGAAUUUGGUAUGUUUCUGUAUGUGAUAUUAGAUGGAAUCCUAUGAUCAUCUGUGUAAAAUAGAGUCACAGAAGUUAGAGGUAGAAAUGGUUGAUGAAUUGCCCACUGUAUGAUACUGCUAAUAAACUUAAUCUAAUUCUACUUUAGUGUCUUUAAUGGUCUACCUUAAAAAUAUAAUUAAAAACAUUUCAGUUUUUAUUUUGAUACUAAAAAUAGCAUGGUGAUGCUGGUCAUGUGAAAUUAAAAUCCGUGGACUGGUGAGGAAGCUAAAACACCACGCUAAAAACUCAGCUAUAUCUGAAUAUGUCCACAAAGAGUAUGAAUGACUAAAACAGUGUUGUUCAGAAUGGGUGUAUGAUUUAGGAGCCAGUAUGGAUUUUUCUGGGAAAGUUGUACAGUAUCAGAAUUUCAAAUCUGUUUUUAGGCUGAAUUUCUAAACAGUAAGCAUCUGAGCAGGACACAGAACAGAGUAAUACUGUGAAAUAUCUUCUCUUGUGUAUGUUUUGUUAUUUAGUUUUCUUCAGGUGCAUUUCUGCAUUUCCUGCACACUUCUGUUAAAAGAACAAGGGAAUAAGAGUAUCAUUUGUAUUUGUGCAAGAAGCGUAUAUGUGUGUGUGAAUAUGCUGUUCACCCUUAAAGGCUGGAUUAUGCCAGCAUUUGGAGGUGGAAAGCUUCACUUAUUGCAGGAGAGGCUUUUUCUGUUUGCUAGAAGUGAAGCAGAAGGGGGUUAGUUAGUCAACGGAAGAGAAAGUUUCACUUCGCUUCUGAAGAAUUUCAUUGUUUCCCUGUGUGGAGCUUGGUUUUCUUUCAGCAUCACAAUCUUUACAGUAUUCUGCCAAAUGGAGGAGCCUCCAACAGAGGCACUGAUGAACCCCUAUGUGCAUGCCCAGGGGCAGAGUUGUACUUAUUUUUCUGACUUUUGAAUUAAUAUAGCGGAUUCUUUUCCUUAGCAGAAAAGCAGUGUUUGCUGGUGUGGUUCUCUCUCACCCAAAACAGAGUGCAGGAGGGGGGAAUAUGGGAGGACUAAUGAUGCUUUUUGCUAACUGAAAAAAGCCUCUGAAGUUAACAACAGUUGCUGUGCUUCUUUUCUCUCUGUGUGCCUAGGUUGGCAUCCAGCGAGGACACUGUGACCCUGGGAGCUGCAGUGUGGCACUGCGUGUAUUUGACAAGCUGAGUCCGACACUCAGUGUGCAGAGUGUCAGUUUGUCAAAUACCCCAAGUGAGGCACUGCUGAGCAACGUAACGCCGAGGGUCCAGCCCUUUCCUCCUGCUCUGGCAGGAGUCUUCCUCUCCAGGCUCGGCACCUCUCCAAAAACCCACCGAGGUACUCAGUAGCCCGUCCCGUUGUUCCAGAACUGACUGAUCCUGUGCUGCCAAGUUUCCCUUCUUCCCUGGUUUUGGAAGUGUCUGUCGGGGUAUCCCUCCCAACAGUAAAUCAGAGCAGAAGUGGUGCUGGUGCAAUUUCUCUGCACUGUGAAGACAGGGAAUUGUGCCCUGGGUCCUUGUUCUCUGCAUCCAAAUACAAUGCUAUUCUCUUACAAGCAUUAACUAGCCAGCUUAAAUUAAACUCAGUUAACAAGGAUCCUGGCAAGUACAAUCACAACAUCAUGGGUGAAGGCAGCAUUAUCUGUAAUAAUCUUUCCUUUGCACAUGGUAGUAAUCUUUUUUAUAUGGAGUACAAACUAAUGAGGCUGCUUGUUAACUUCCCUCUGGCCCAUUAGCCUGUGAAAAAUGCAUGUUUGCUCAAUCUGUUUUAAAUUAGGCCAUGGAAUCCAUUGCCCCUCUUGGGAGCUUUGCUGUUUGGAGAAGACUUUUUGUCUUUGGAUGGUUAUUCCUAGUCAGCACUUGCAGCAAGGUUGCCUAUUCUGCUAUUUAAUUAAAGUAAUUCCCUCUAAAUUGUCCCACUUGAAGAUGUAAUGAUUGUUAAGUGUUUUCAGUAACUAACUUGUAGCAUUUCAGAUAUGUCAGGGUAGGGGAAUGACAGGGGCAGUAUCCAACCCAAUUUGACAAAUCAAACUCUUUGAAAGCAUUUGACAUGGAAAACUCAAAAAUAAAAUAAAAAAUUCCAAGAUCCUACCGACUAGUUUUAGGACAAUACCACCAGCAAAUUUUGCAAUAUUUGAGAGUAUUAAUAAACUUGAAUACUAAGCUUU